This 390-nucleotide ribosomal RNA is filed under the name uncultured bacterium. RNAcentral's name for it is "bacterial SSU rRNA". It matches the Rfam family "Bacterial small subunit ribosomal RNA", at positions 28 to 429 of the family's 1533-position model. The record is from RNAcentral.
GACGAACGCUGGCGGCGUGCUUAACACAUGCAAGUCACGGGGGCUGGUGCAAACCAGUAACCGGCGAACGGGUGCGUAACACGUGAGCGACCUGCCUUAUUGAGGGGGAUAGCCGGCCCAACGGCCGGGUAAUACCGCAUACGCUUGUUUGGGGGCAUCCCUGGACAAGGAAACCUCCGGGGCGAUAAGAGGGGCUCGCGGCCUAUCAGCUAGUUGGUGAGGUAACGGCUCACCAAGGCGAUGACGGGUAGCUGGUCUGAGAGGAUGGCCAGCCACAUUGGGACUGAGAGACGGCCCAGACUCCUACGGGAGGCAGCAGUGGGGAAUCUUGCGCAAUGGCCGGAAGGCUGACGCAGCGACGCCGCGUGGAGGAUGACGCCUCGGUGUAAC